This is a non-coding RNA of Cyanistes caeruleus (blue tit), 4306 nucleotides long. NCBI's taxonomy places the organism in Eukaryota, Metazoa, Chordata, Aves, Passeriformes, Paridae. The record is from RefSeq and is a predicted model, not a curated record.
CUCUCCUGACAGAACUUCAGGCCAUUCCCUCAAGUCCCAUCGCUGGUCACCACAGAGAAAAGAUUGGUCUGUUGCUGUACCCUGCUGCAAGAUCUCCCCUCAGUCUCAUCUAGGCUGAACAGACCAAAUACCCUCAGCUGCUCCUCAUACAGCUGCUUUUCCAGACCCUUCCCCAUCCCCAUUGUCCUCCCUUGGGCACUCUCUAGUAGCUUUAAUAUCUGUAUUAUACUGUUGUGAUGAGGCACCACACAGCCACUGGCUGCCCCCCUCCAACUGCAGUGGAAUGGGGAGAAGAAUCAACUCUAAAACUUACAGGUUGAGGUAAUAGCAGUCUAAUAAUAGAAAACAUAGUAAAAUACAAUAAUAAUAAUGGUAAGUAAUAAUUAUGAAAACAAAUAGGAAAAAAAACCAAAUAACUGAUGCCCAAUAAAAUUACUCACUGCCUGCUGACCAAUGUCAAACCCUUUCUAGGUAACUCUCCCAGUUAAUCUACUGGGCAUAAUGUUCCGUGGUGUGGAAUAUCCCUUUGGGCAGUUUGGGUCACCUGUCCUGGUUGUGGUCCUUCACUGUUUCUUUUCUGUACCUCCUAACUGGCAGACACAAGACACCAAAAAUAAAUCCUUGACUUAAGGUACAACAACUUAGAAAAAAAUAAAACAGUGGUGUACUAUCAGCAUUAUUCUCAUUCUGAAUCCAAAACACAACAUUGUAUCAAAUACUGAGAAGAAAUUAACUCCAACUCAGUUGAAACCAAGAAAGGCAGUUUUAGGGACUGCAGGAAAGUUCCAGAUGAUCCGGGGUAGGAAAGGGGAUCACUCCCUUUGGCUGGUUAAGUUCAUUUCUCUCUAGGGCCAACAGAGCUCCUUGCCCCCCUUGUACCAGUCUUCUACAACUUCCUCCUCUUUGCUCCCUAUCCCCUAUUCAUUAUCCAGUUAGAAGAAAGUCCAAGCCAGAGAACUGUCCCUUCCUCCUGCUUCUCUGGAGCUUUGUUAUCCUACUCCUGAGGACCAAGAGUCCCUCCAGAACUAAACACAGGGUCAGGCUCCACAUGCCAUGCACACCCUUACCUUGACCCAUCAGCCCCUGGACAGCUGGGAGCCAUCUCAGGUUCACUGUAUGAGUCAACAGCAUUGGGAAUCUAAUUUAUCUACACUUUCAGCCAACUCCAAAAUCGAUUAAUAACUUGCCAGCAUAUUUUAGUGCUUACUGUAUUUUCUCCACAAGAGAAACAACACAAGUAGUUCUUGUGUCAGAUCAAGUUCAUGAUUAGGUAACAGAGACAAAUUUUGGAAAACAGCCCUUUGUGCUCAAUCUCUUAAUCUGAAUUAAAAUGGGUAAUAGAGAUGAUAGGUGAAGUCUGGACCUUAUAAGAAGCUGGUAGACAGCAGGUGGUUUUGUGGCCAACAAUUCAGGCUUUCACUGCAGUUGUACUCUGGUCAUAAUCCUGCAUUUUAUGAGUGCAAAACAGAUUCACAAAACAUAAGCUAUGGCCACUUCAGAUUUUGAGACAAGAAGAAAUUAGUGUCCAUAUUGGCUGAACAGCCUGUAAAAAUAUUGCAAAAAUUCACACCCAUCUUUGAGAAGCCAGUACAACUCCUCUGGAGAGGAGACACCAGUUUAUGCUCCAUUUGUGUGUCACCUCGUGGCCUGAAGCUGCCUCGGUAUGACUCAGUUGUUCAGCAGCACAAUGCUUGCUCUAUGGCAACACUUUUUUUGAUUGCUUUUAGAUGAUCAUACUCUGAUUCUGUAGCCAGUCUCACCUCUGGAAUAUUCUGUAAAAGUUGAUGAUUAGGAGACAGUUUUUGGAACUGUUUCUGGUAGAGUUUUCUGCUUCACACACACUAUUUCCCCACCAAUAUGAAAUCUAUUCUCUAAAUAGUGUGUAUGUUUAUGCUGCUGUGGGAUGGUUUAGUGGGAAUUAUUUCUUCACGUGUGAUUGUUCUCCUUUGACCAGCACACUUAAAAGCUCCUCAAGAGUCUGUAAGUCUAUGAAUAUGAGCGUGAACAUGAAAGGCUGAGGAGCAGGAGGGGCAACCUCUUUCCUGCAACAUUUAUUGUCAUGUCAUCCCUUCUAGAAAUCUGUCAAUCUGUUUGGAACUUAGGUAGAAGAUCAAAAGCAGUAACACACUUUUAUCUUUUCACUCUGAACUACUAUAAGAGCACUCAAAUGCUGAUUUCUGUGGAGGAAUGGAAGUAUAUCUUAUACUAUCUAUAUUAUUUCUGCAUGCUCUUCUAAGACCCUGGCAUUUUCAUCUGGGGACCUCUUGUGUUUCUCUGGCUGUGUCAUGACAACAGAAUGUUUCAUAAGUUUAAUGUUAAAAGCUUUAUGAGGAGCUUUUUCAGUUAGGAUCAAAAGAUCCUUUCAAGAAGGCUUUUUAAACUUAUAGUUAUGCUUUUCUUGCAGAAUUUUAGGGCAAUGAUUUAAAAACAGUGUUUAAAAACUUAGUUAAGCAGUAUUUUCAACAAAACUUAAACAGAUCUACUCAUUAAAUUAUGUAUUGAGAAACUGAUAAUUCAAUGUGUACAAGGUCUUUCUGGGCCUCUCAAGCUCUCAGGUAGCUAUGGAAAACCAGAUGACUCUUCUCACAUCAUUGAAUGAUUUGUCCAAUUUUUCUGGAAAAUUGUAACCUUUUAAUGAGUGAGUGUUACCCUCUCAUAAGCCCUUGCCAGUCAUCUGAAAGUAGGUUUCAGUCAUUUUUAAGCACUUUGGUUUUUUCAGUAGAUAGAGUUUUUCCACUUACCUUAAGGGACAAGGUUUCCACCUGAUGCCAGGACAGCUAAUUCCGGCCAUUAGCACCUGCCAUGCUUUCACUGCUGGGCUGUCAGUGCAAUCCAUGCCUUUUCCAUCUCUGUGUUCUAUGCUGAAUUUCCCCAAAUAAUGAGGGUGAGGGAAGAAGGGCAAAGAAUGCAAACUGGUUAAGUAGCAUUAGGGUCUGUGUAUGUUUAAGAAGUUACUGGUAUUUUUCAUUCAGCCUCAAACUGCAGUUCAUCUUAGAAAAUCCCACUGAACAAAGGAUGGCAUAUUACUGAGUGGGAUGUAAAAACUACAUAGCUUUACUCAUCUCCAUCUCUCUGAUUAUGUGAUGCAAAAGAAAGAAUAGAAUUACAUAAAGAUCUGUGUUACAGAAGGAAUGCUCCUAUUUCCUGUGAUGAGUUUUUGAUAUCAUGUAAGAAAAUGACAUCUCUUAUCCACAAAGGUAUUUUCCCCUUACUUGAUGUCAGAAGGAAGGAAACCCCCAACCAGUCCCCUGCGAGGCAUCCCACAGUGCCUAUGAUAACGCACACUAUGGUCUUCUGCCUUUUCCUAUAUGAGAAAACUUUCCCUUUCAUCUAAUAUUCAAGGUAUAUAUAGGCAGAGUAUGGUGUAUAAAUCAAACACAGCUUUCCUUGAACCCAAAAUGUCGUUGCUCUAUAUCUUUUUGGUGAGUUGCUGCUUACCUGGCUCAAUGGGAGGUGCUGUAGAAGAAUUUCAAGAAAACCUCAAGGCUCUAGUGGCUCUAGCAAACAAAGAGGUGGGUCAUUAUCACUUUUUCUUAAUUUCCUACAGUUCUUUUGAUGGAAAUAGAGAAUGAAGUCUGGGUUAGUUUCAGCUCUACUUUGUAUGUCCUGUGUUUUGUUUGUUAAAGUUGAGAUGCUCGAGGCACUGCAUGUCAAGCUUUCCUCAGAAGCUGGUCUGUAAUUGUUUCCCCAAAGGAAGUUCAGAAAUAGAAAACCUGAUGAAGAUGAUAUGUAGUUCAAGAUGUUUAACAAUGUGGCAGUCACUUAGAGAAGAAAUAUCUUCUAACAGUAUAUUCUUGUUAAUUUUUUUAGAUCUUUCUUCCAGUACCCAAGGGGAAAUUUCAGUGCAGUCAUGUUCCCUGUCAACUUGAACGAACCAUAGAAGGACUGAAAGUUUCCUUUAAGAAUAAUUCAGCAGGAACCCAUAUUUCUCUGAUGGAGAAAAACAUGGAUCACAUUACAUCAACUUUAAAGAAAACACAUAUACAACCAGAGAACACCAUAUCCUGUCUGAUAAGGUACCUGCCUCGACAGAGAGCCCUGAACCACUUCACAAAAUAUUUCCAGAGCAUGCAUGAGAACUGCUGGGAGUCCUGAUAACAGGUGUUGGCACCCCAAAUACUUGGAGACAACUCUUACCCAACACUAGAGCUGAUUCUGAUGGAAGACAGACCACCACAAAGAGACACCACAAAGAGUUAACAUGAAUGUUUAAUAUAUGAAUUAUUAACCUAUUUAUUUAAUUUAUAGAGAACCUUUAUAUUUUUACCCUAAUGUUCAAUGUAACCAUGAAUAAAAUAACUUAAAA